Long non-coding RNA from Microplitis mediator, 604 nucleotides. RefSeq lists it as uncharacterized. The record is from RefSeq and is a predicted model, not a curated record. The transcript has 3 exons. NCBI's taxonomy places the organism in Eukaryota, Metazoa, Arthropoda, Insecta, Hymenoptera, Braconidae.
AUAAUUAAUAAUUUUUCGCAACCAAGUUAAGCAACUUGUAUUUAUUCAUGGAGAUAAGGAUUAAUAUAUAUACCCGUGAGUUUUACUGGCAAAUCACACCGAUUCUCAGUUGGAAAAUUGAUUGUUUAUUUCUGAGCUUAAUAUUAUCACUGAAAAACAUAAACAAAAUGCGCUUUACAAUUAUUUGUCUGGUGGCUUCUAUGGUUGUCUGUAUAUCAAUCGAAGCGGCGAAUCAAGGUAUAAAUACAAAAGGUACGAAUGACAAUAAGAUAAAUAACACGAAUAGAGCCGAUCAAACUACCAAUCAGAUGGCGAACUUGACAGCAAGUAAUGUGGAUACUAAAGGUCCCGCGAUAAAUAGGAUGUCUGUGACUCAAAAUUCGGAUACGGGAACAGAAAUGAAGCCCACGGUGAGCGCAAAAGGUACAAACACUGGACGCGCAGCUCAGAAUGCAUCUUAAUGAUUUCUGAGGGAAUGAUUAAGUUCUCACUGCUUUCGAUAAUUGCAAAGCUAUCCCGGAAAUCCGACGAAUUCAAACUUAUUUAAAGGAAUCUGUAGUAUGAAUAUCUCAAAUAAUAUUAUAUUAUCUUAUUUUCAAAAUUA